Molecule: ribosomal RNA, 542 nt
Filed under: uncultured bacterium
Lineage: Bacteria
Description: bacterial SSU rRNA
Rfam family: Bacterial small subunit ribosomal RNA
Source: RNAcentral
CCUACGGGAGGCUGCAGUGGGGAAUAUUGGACAAUGGGCGGAAGCCUGAUCCAGCCAUGCCGCGUGUGUGAAGUAGGCCUUCGGGUUGUAAAGCACUUUUGUUGGGGAAGAAAUGAUCCGGGUUAAUAACCCGGGUUCAUGAGGGUACCCAAAGAAUAAGCACCGGCUAACUUCGUGCCAGCAGCCGCGGUAAUACGAAGGGUGGAAGCGUUACUCGGAAUUACUGGGCGUAUAGCGUGCGUAGGCGGUUUGUUAAGUCUGUGGUGAAAGCCCGGGGCUCAACCUGGGAAUGGCGGUGGAUACUGGCAGGCUAGAGUACGGUAGAGGAUGGUGGAAUUCCCGGUGUAGCAGUGAAAUGCGUUGAGAACGGGAGGAACAUCUAUGGCGAAGGCAGCCAUCUGGACCAGUACUGACGCUGAGGCACGAAAGCGUGGGGAGCAAACAGGAUUAGAUACCCUGGAAGUCCACCCCCUAAACGAUGCGCAUUAGACCGAUGCAGGACUGACCCUGUAUUGGUCGAAGAGAAAUAGAUAAAUGCGCCG